AACGAACGCUGGCGGCGCGCUUAACACAUGCAAGUCGAACGAGAAGGCGUAGCAAUACGCUUGUACAGUGGCGAACGGGUGAGUAAUACGUGGGCGACCUACCCUCGAGUGGGGAAUAACCCGCCGAAAGGCGGGCUAAUGCCGCGUACGCUUCCAUCUUUAUGGAGGUGGAAGGAAAGCCGUGCCGUGGGCACGGCGCUCAAGGAUGGGCUCACGUCCUAUCAGCUUGNGGUAGGGUAACGGCCUACCAAGGCUCCGACGGGUAGCUGGUCUGAGAGGACGAUCAGCCACACUGGCACUGCGACACGGGCCAGACUCCUACGGGAGGCAGCAGUGAGGAAUAUUGCGCAAUGGGCGAAAGCCUGACGCAGCGACGCCGCGUGGGGGA
This 388-nucleotide ribosomal RNA is filed under the name uncultured bacterium. Its description in RNAcentral is "bacterial SSU rRNA". It matches the Rfam family "Bacterial small subunit ribosomal RNA", at positions 29 to 408 of the family's 1533-position model. The record is from RNAcentral.